Molecule: ribosomal RNA, 465 nt
Filed under: uncultured bacterium
Lineage: Bacteria
Description: partial 16S ribosomal RNA
Rfam family: Bacterial small subunit ribosomal RNA
Source: RNAcentral
GACGAACGCUGGCGGCGUGCUUAACACAUGCAAGUCGUACGGUAAGGCCCUUUCGGGGGUACCCGAGUGGCGAACGGGUGAGUAACACGUGAGUAACCUGCCCACAACUUUGGGAUAACGCUAGGAAACUGGUGCUAAUACUGGAUAUGUGCUCCUGCUGCAUGGUGGGGGUUGGAAAGCUCCGGCGGUUGUGGAUGGACUCGCGGCCUAUCAGCUUGUUGGUGGGGUAGUGGCCUACCAAGGCGGCGACGGGUAGCCGGCCUGAGAGGGUGACCGGCCACAUUGGGACUGAGAUACGGCCCAGACUCCUACGGGAGGCAGCCGUGGGGAAUAUUGCACAAUGGGCGCAAGCCUGAUGCAGCAACGCCGCGUGCGGGAUGACGGCCUUCGGGUUGUAAACCGCUUUCAGCAGGGACGAAGCUUUUUGUGACGGUACCUGCAGAAGAAGCACCGGCUAACUACGUG